RNAcentral lists this ribosomal RNA (493 nucleotides) under uncultured bacterium. Its description in RNAcentral is "partial 16S ribosomal RNA". It matches the Rfam family "Bacterial small subunit ribosomal RNA", at positions 29 to 523 of the family's 1533-position model. The record is from RNAcentral.
AUUGAACGCUGGCGGCAUGCUUUACACAUGCAAGUCGAACGGUAACAGGUUAAGCUGACGAGUGGCGAACGGGUGAGUAAUGCAUCGGAACGUGCCCGGUCGUGGGGGAUAACGCAGCGAAAGCUGCGCUAAUACCGCAUACGAUCUGAGGAUGAAAGCGGGGGACCGUAAGGCCUCGCGCGAUCGGAGCGGCCGAUGUCAGAUUAGGUAGUUGGUGGGGUAAAGGCUCACCAAGCCAACGAUCUGUAGCUGGUCUGAGAGGACGACCAGCCACACUGGAACUGGGACACGGCCCAGACUCCUACGGGCGGCGGCAGUGGGGAAUUUUGGAGAAUGGGCGAAAGCCUGAUCCAGCAAUGCCGCGGGCAGGAAGAAGGCCUUCGGGUUGUAAACUGCUUUUGUACGGAGCGAAAAGGUCUCCUCUAAGUCAUGGGGCUCAUGACGGUACCGUAAGAAUAAGCACCGGCUAACUACGUGCCAGCCGCCGCCGUAA